CUUAUAUUGUAUGAAUAAAUGUUUGAUAUCCAAGGCACAAGAUGUGAAUGUUAAUAUAGAUGUUUGGUAAUACAAUAUGAAUAAGUUUAGAAAUAAUCACAUUUGCUAAAAAGUGCAUGUAACAUACAUUACAAAUAAAAUGAGAGAAGGUCGAUUGAGAUGAUUUGACUAUAUCUGAUGUAAAGCAUCGAACGCAUUGGCAUAAAAAUGUGCUAAAUUAAUAAUGAAAUGAGUGAUGAAAAAGAGAGACCUAAAAUAACAUAAUGAAAAAUAGUAUCAAAAGAUUUUAAUUUUUGAAUAUUGAUGCGUAAUUAGUUUCAAAUAGAAUUAAAUAACAAAAAAAAUUCAUAUAGCCAACUUCAACUGACUUGAUAUUAAGACUUAGUCGUUGUUAUUGUUAUUUCAAAAUGUAAAUAUUUCAUAAGGUUAGACUAGUUAAAAUGGACUAGUUCAUCACAUAAAACGACACAGUAUGAUUAACCAAUCAGAGUAAUUUUGGUUAAAAUAGAUGCAUAGCAAAUUAC
RNAcentral lists this unclassified non-coding RNA (524 nucleotides) under Hevea brasiliensis (rubber tree). Lineage: Eukaryota; Viridiplantae; Streptophyta; Magnoliopsida; Malpighiales; Euphorbiaceae. The record is from RNAcentral.